RNAcentral lists this ribosomal RNA (2792 nucleotides) under Bacillus anthracis (anthrax bacterium). RNAcentral's name for it is "bacterial LSU rRNA". It matches the Rfam family "Bacterial large subunit ribosomal RNA". The record is from RNAcentral. Lineage: Bacteria; Bacillati; Bacillota; Bacilli; Caryophanales; Bacillaceae.
UUUGGUUAAGUUAGAAAGGGCGCACGGUGGAUGCCUUGACACUAGGAGUCGAUGAAGGACGGGACUAACGCCGAUAUGCUUCGGGGAGCUGUAAGUAAGCUUUGAUCCGAAGAUUUCCGAAUGGGGAAACCCACCAUACGUAAUGGUAUGGUAUCCUUAUCUGAAUACAUAGGGUAAGGAAGACAGACCCAGGGAACUGAAACAUCUAAGUACCUGGAGGAAGAGAAAGCAAAUGCGAUUUCCUGAGUAGCGGCGAGCGAAACGGAACAUAGCCCAAACCAAGAGGCUUGCCUCUUGGGGUUGUAGGACAUUCUAUACGGAGUUACAAAGGAACGAGGUAGACGAAGCGACCUGGAAAGGUCCGUCGUAGAGGGUAACAACCCCGUAGUCGAAACUUCGUUCUCUCUUGAAUGUAUCCUGAGUACGGCGGAACACGUGAAAUUCCGUCGGAAUCUGGGAGGACCAUCUCCCAAGGCUAAAUACUCCCUAGUGAUCGAUAGUGAACCAGUACCGUGAGGGAAAGGUGAAAAGCACCCCGGAAGGGGAGUGAAAGAGAUCCUGAAACCGUGUGCCUACAAAUAGUCAGAGCCCGUUAACGGGUGAUGGCGUGCCUUUUGUAGAAUGAACCGGCGAGUUACGAUCCCGUGCGAGGUUAAGCUGAAGAGGCGGAGCCGCAGCGAAAGCGAGUCUGAAUAGGGCGUUUAGUACGUGGUCGUAGACCCGAAACCAGGUGAUCUACCCAUGUCCAGGGUGAAGUUCAGGUAACACUGAAUGGAGGCCCGAACCCACGCACGUUGAAAAGUGCGGGGAUGAGGUGUGGGUAGCGGAGAAAUUCCAAUCGAACCUGGAGAUAGCUGGUUCUCCCCGAAAUAGCUUUAGGGCUAGCCUUAAGUGUAAGAGUCUUGGAGGUAGAGCACUGAUUGGACUAGGGGUCCUCAUCGGAUUACCGAAUUCAGUCAAACUCCGAAUGCCAAUGACUUAUCCUUAGGAGUCAGACUGCGAGUGAUAAGAUCCGUAGUCAAAAGGGAAACAGCCCAGACCGCCAGCUAAGGUCCCAAAGUGUGUAUUAAGUGGAAAAGGAUGUGGAGUUGCUUAGACAACUAGGAUGUUGGCUUAGAAGCAGCCACCAUUUAAAGAGUGCGUAAUAGCUCACUAGUCGAGUGACUCUGCGCCGAAAAUGUACCGGGGCUAAAUACACCACCGAAGCUGCGGAUUGAUACCAAUGGUAUCAGUGGUAGGGGAGCGUUCUAAGGACAGUGAAGUCAGACCGGAAGGACUGGUGGAGUGCUUAGAAGUGAGAAUGCCGGUAUGAGUAGCGAAAGACGGGUGAGAAUCCCGUCCACCGAAUGCCUAAGGUUUCCUGAGGAAGGCUCGUCCGCUCAGGGUUAGUCAGGACCUAAGCCGAGGCCGACAGGCGUAGGCGAUGGACAACAGGUUGAUAUUCCUGUACCACCUCUUUAUCGUUUGAGCAAUGGAGGGACGCAGAAGGAUAGAAGAAGCGUGCGAUUGGUUGUGCACGUCCAAGCAGUUAGGCUGAUAAGUAGGCAAAUCCGCUUAUCGUGAAGGCUGAGCUGUGAUGGGGAAGCUCCUUAUGGAGCGAAGUCUUUGAUUCCCCGCUGCCAAGAAAAGCUUCUAGCGAGAUAAAAGGUGCCUGUACCGCAAACCGACACAGGUAGGCGAGGAGAGAAUCCUAAGGUGUGCGAGAGAACUCUGGUUAAGGAACUCGGCAAAAUGACCCCGUAACUUCGGGAGAAGGGGUGCUUUCUUAACGGAAAGCCGCAGUGAAUAGGCCCAAGCGACUGUUUAGCAAAAACACAGCUCUCUGCGAAGCCGUAAGGCGAAGUAUAGGGGGUGACACCUGCCCGGUGCUGGAAGGUUAAGGAGAGGGGUUAGCGUAAGCGAAGCUCUGAACUGAAGCCCCAGUAAACGGCGGCCGUAACUAUAACGGUCCUAAGGUAGCGAAAUUCCUUGUCGGGUAAGUUCCGACCCGCACGAAAGGUGUAACGAUUUGGGCACUGUCUCAACCAGAGACUCGGUGAAAUUAUAGUACCUGUGAAGAUGCAGGUUACCCGCGACAGGACGGAAAGACCCCGUGGAGCUUUACUGUAGCCUGAUAUUGAAUUUUGGUACAGUUUGUACAGGAUAGGCGGGAGCCUUUGAAACCGGAGCGCUAGCUUCGGUGGAGGCGCUGGUGGGAUACCGCCCUGACUGUAUUGAAAUUCUAACCUACGGGUCUUAUCGACCCGGGAGACAGUGUCAGGUGGGCAGUUUGACUGGGGCGGUCGCCUCCUAAAGUGUAACGGAGGCGCCCAAAGGUUCCCUCAGAAUGGUUGGAAAUCAUUCGUAGAGUGCAAAGGCAUAAGGGAGCUUGACUGCGAGACCUACAAGUCGAGCAGGGACGAAAGUCGGGCUUAGUGAUCCGGUGGUUCCGCAUGGAAGGGCCAUCGCUCAACGGAUAAAAGCUACCCCGGGGAUAACAGGCUUAUCUCCCCCAAGAGUCCACAUCGACGGGGAGGUUUGGCACCUCGAUGUCGGCUCAUCGCAUCCUGGGGCUGUAGUCGGUCCCAAGGGUUGGGCUGUUCGCCCAUUAAAGCGGUACGCGAGCUGGGUUCAGAACGUCGUGAGACAGUUCGGUCCCUAUCCGUCGUGGGCGUAGGAAAUUUGAGAGGAGCUGUCCUUAGUACGAGAGGACCGGGAUGGACGCACCGCUGGUGUACCAGUUGUUCUGCCAAGGGCAUAGCUGGGUAGCUAUGUGCGGAAGGGAUAAGUGCUGAAAGCAUCUAAGCAUGAAG